UAUGAAAACAAUCAAUUGCUAAAGAAAUUCAUUAAUAAGAACGAUGAUAUGAAAUUGAAAGGGCAGGACAAAAUUUGCUGACUGGCUACGCAGGCUUCGCUAUAAUAUCCGAUACCCUGUAUAAAAAUCUGUAGAUUCGCGACUUACUUGGUUUUUGACUCAACUCGUCGUCCGUCAUCAUUCUUUUUAUGGCAAGUGGAUUAAUGGCUUCUCCGACACGAAUUGCCACAAAGCAUAACGAAAGACAUUGCGCAUAAAAGAUAACCGUCGACAUAUCCUUAUUUUUCUGCUCCUUCAAUAUUCUAAAUUGAAUUCGUCGAUUGCUUCGCUACGUUUAUUUAUAGCAUGAGUUUGAAACGACAGCAUGAGCCGUUGUAUACCGUUUCACAAAUGCAAACCUCUUUUAUAGUACCAAUGACGCGCACGCAAAGUAAAUAUUCCGACGUAAGAUGACAGAUUAAUGACAAAUAUAAAUUCGAUCUCAAUUGAAUUGUUGUAAUUUAUUUACCGUUUAGUACAUCCGCCCUCAUAAAGUCGCGUGAACUCAAUUACUUACGGAAGUUGCCAAACUACAAUGGUUGGUAUUCUACUACCACAUGAAACUCGAGCAUUCCUCAAUUAAGAACAGCAAAAUGGCGUAAUCAGUCCGCUUGUAUUCUGUCCUGUGUUCAUGUGAAAACAAUAGAUUUCUAAGAAAUAAAUAACUAUGAUGUCCUCAAAUGUA
Long non-coding RNA from Xenia sp. Carnegie-2017, 724 nucleotides. RefSeq lists it as uncharacterized. The transcript is spliced from 2 exons. Lineage: Eukaryota; Metazoa; Cnidaria; Anthozoa; Malacalcyonacea; Xeniidae. The record is from RefSeq and is a predicted model, not a curated record.